This 466-nucleotide ribosomal RNA is filed under the name uncultured bacterium. Its description in RNAcentral is "bacterial SSU rRNA". It matches the Rfam family "Bacterial small subunit ribosomal RNA", at positions 32 to 507 of the family's 1533-position model. The record is from RNAcentral.
GACAACGCUGGCGGCGCGCCUAACACAUGCAAGUCGAACGGAAUCAAGAGGAGCUUGCUUUCUUGAUUUAGUGGCGAACGGGUGAGUAACGCGUGAGUAACCUGCCCUGGAGUGGGGGACAACAGUUGGAAACGACUGCUAAUACCGCAUAAGCCCACGGUACCGCAUGGUACUGAGGGAAAAGGAUUUAUUCGCUUCAGGAUGGACUCGCGUCCAAUUAGCUAGUUGGUGAGGUAACGGCCCACCAAGGCGACGAUUGGUAGCCGGACUGAGAGGUUGAACGGCCACAUUGGGACUGAGACACGGCCCAGACUCCUACGGGAGGCAGCAGUGGGGGAUAUUGCACAAUGGGGGAAACCCUGAUGCAGCGACGCCGCGUGGAGGAAGAAGGUUUUCGGAUUGUAAACUCCUGUCGUUAGGGACGAUAAUGACGGUACCUAACAAGAAAGCACCGGCUAACUACGUG